Non-coding RNA from Heligmosomoides polygyrus, 78 nucleotides. The record is from Rfam. NCBI's taxonomy places the organism in Eukaryota, Metazoa, Nematoda, Chromadorea, Rhabditida, Heligmosomidae.
UGGCCUGGCUAAGCCUACUCAGGGCCUUUCUUAAGACCCGAUGAACAAUUUUUGAAAGCCCUUACAGCGUAAGGGCUG